AGUGAACGCUGGCGGUAGGCCUAACACAUGCAAGUCGAGCGGCAGCACAGUAAGAGCUUGCUCUUACGGGUGGCGAGUGGCGGACGGGUGAGGAAUACAUCGGAAUCUACUUUUUCGUGGGGGAUAACGUAGGGAAACUUACGCUAAUACCGCAUACGACCUACGGGUGAAAGCAGGGGAUCUUCGGACCUUGCGCGAUUGAAUGAGCCGAUGUCGGAUUAGCUAGUUGGCGGGGUAAAGGCCCACCAAGGCGACGAUCCGUAGCUGGUCUGAGAGGAUGAUCAGCCACACUGGAACUGAGACACCGUCCAGACUCCUACGGGAGGCAGCAGUGGGGAAUAUUGGACAAUGGGCGCAAGCCUGAUCCAGCCAUACCGCGUGGGUGAAGAAGGCCUUCGGGUUGUAAAGCCCUUUUGUUGGGAAAGAAAAGCAGCAGGUUAAUACCCCGCUGUUCUGACGGUACCCAAAGAAUAAGCACCGGCUAACUUCGUG
RNAcentral lists this ribosomal RNA (492 nucleotides) under uncultured bacterium. RNAcentral's name for it is "partial 16S ribosomal RNA". It matches the Rfam family "Bacterial small subunit ribosomal RNA", at positions 29 to 507 of the family's 1533-position model. The record is from RNAcentral.